UAUUGGACGAUGGGCGAAAGCCUGAUCCAGCAAUGCCGCGUGAGUGAUGAAGGCCUUAGGGUUGUAAAGCUCUUUUACCCGGGAUGAUAAUGACAGUACCGGGAGAAUAAGCUCCGGCUAACUCCGUGCCAGCAGCCGCGGUAAUACGGAGGGAGCUAGCGUUGUUCGGAAUUACUGGGCGUAAAGCGCACGUAGGCGGCUUUGUAAGUUAGAGGUGAAAGCCUGGAGCUCAACUCCAGAAUUGCCUUUGAUACUGCAUCGCUUGAAUCCAGGAGAGGUGAGUGGAAUUCCGAGUGUAGAGGUGAAAUUCGUAGAUAUUCGGAAGAACACCAGUGGCGAAGGCGGCUCACUAGUGCUGGUAUUGACGCUGAGGUGCGAAA
This 380-nucleotide ribosomal RNA is filed under the name uncultured bacterium. Its description in RNAcentral is "bacterial SSU rRNA". It matches the Rfam family "Bacterial small subunit ribosomal RNA", at positions 362 to 758 of the family's 1533-position model. The record is from RNAcentral.